Pezoporus flaviventris is the source of this 1953-nucleotide RNA transcript. It is a transcript of the gene named syntaxin 8, with no coding region annotated. Lineage: Eukaryota; Metazoa; Chordata; Aves; Psittaciformes; Psittacidae. The transcript is spliced from 10 exons. The record is from RefSeq and is a predicted model, not a curated record.
CCCAUGCCUCGCCCGGUGCCUGCGCUCGGAAAGAUUUGUGCCUCGGCGGGCGCCGUUGUCACGUGACCCGAUCCGGAAGCGCGGGGCUCUUCCGUGCUGGCGGCGAUGGCUCCGGACCGCUGGCUCUUGCUGUACGAUGCCACUUGCCAGGUCGCCCAGGAGGUCGCUGAGAAAAUCCAGGAGCGGAACCGCUACCAGAGGAACGGGGAAAGCUCGGCCAAGCUCAAUGUGAUUAUCAGGUCAUCGCUGCAGAAUCUCCAAGAGAAGAUUGAUCAGCUGAAGGACUUACUGCUUCGGGCCGUAUCAACACACCAAAUCACACAGCUGGAAGGGGACAGGAGGCAGAAUUUGGUGGAUGAUCUUCUCACACGACAGAAACAACUUCAGGCAUCUUACAAGAAUGAAGGCACAGAACCAGAUGUGAUAAGAUCGAGCCUAAUGACGGGAGGGGUCAAACGAGGUGUCACUAACCCAUGGCUCUUGGAAGAAUCUGAGGAAACCAGAGGGCUUGGCUGUGACGAUCUCAGGCAGCAGCAGCGAAGGAUCAUAGAAGAGCAAGAUGCUGGACUCGAUGCCCUUUCUUCAAUCAUAUCUCGGCAAAAGCAAAUGGGGCAGGAAAUUGGGAAUGAGCUGGAUGAGCAGAAUGAGAUCAUCGACGACCUCACUAACCUGGUGGAAAACACAGAUGACAAGCUUCGCACCCAGACGCGGCACGUGAAGAUGGUGGACAAGAAAUCAACGUCCUGUGGAAAUGCUCACAUUUUUCAGCCAAGAAAUCCUAGUAACAGGCAAACAGAGGUCCAGCAGUCAGGUCUGGAGAAACAACGAAAUGAAGACAUGUCUAAAAUUGGAGGGAAGAUGAGAGGAGGCUGAAGAGGCCGGGCUGGAAGCACGGCAUUCCCCAUUUACAAGAGAAGAAUCGCCCAUCGGCUCUUCAGGCCGUGGUUUGAUGGGCAGAGCAAUGCCUGUGUUUGAAGUCCACACUGAAGGAAUGCUGGUGGUGAUUGUGUUGCUGCUGAUUGCCAUUGCUGUGGUUGCUGUCUGGCCAACACACUAAUGCGGGUGUGGGGCCCGCUGGAGCUGCUGCUCCGCAGCUGAGCGCGGAGGACUCUGGAGAAGAGACCAACUUUGUGCAAAGACCUGUGAUUUAAAUAAACUCAACGGUAUUGGAACGAGGCUGUGUCCGGCAGACAUCCGCUUGGUGCACAGCUGAAGAGCGCUGCGUGAUUUGGAGGGGCUCUCUUCCCACCUUCAUUUGGCAUUGGGGAGGCUGCAGCUGGCUCCACAAGGGCUGCACUUCUCGGUGCAUCUGCGGCUGAGCACACGCUGGUGUCAGGGUGCUGCUGCCCGGUCCGUGGCUGUGGCUGCUGCUGCUGAGUGGCUUUAAGAUACUAAAAUGCAGGGGUGGGUUGGGGGUACAGCAGCUCCUCCACUUUCUCAUACUUUCCCUAGAGAUGAAACCACAUUUUUCAAGGAAUAGGUGUUUUGGGGAUUGGCUGCAUCUGGAUUCUCGCAGGAUGGGAAGGCUCGCGGAGAGGCACGAGACCCCCACAAGAUACGCAGAAACUCUGGUGAAUGAGUCAGCCCUUGGGGGAGAGUUCUUGCUGUUGAUCUCCAUGGACAGAUGUGAACAGCAGCAGGUUUCCAGCCAGGUGGGUCCAAAUGGAGAGCCUUGCCCUGUACGUGCUCAUGAGGACAGCGUGCUCUCCACAUGCUCUGCCAUGCUCUGCACACAGGAUGUGCUGCAUUAAUGUACUAACCUCAGCAAGCGAGGGCUGCCUCUUUAUGACUUCACUCUGUUAGACCCUAUUUACAAACUAAUGAAAAAAGAAGGAUUGAAGGUUUGCUUCUGGCCAAGAAAAUCAUUAUUUUGUUACACUGCUCAGUUUGAUUUCAGAAUUGACAGGGCAAGCAAUAAAUACUGAAUAAAAGGUGAUCCGUUUCUAUACAGUU